UACAGCCACAUCACGUUGAAACACCAGUUCGCGUACGAUCACCGAAGUUAAGCAACGUCGAGCCUGGUUAGUAUCUAAAUGGGAGACCGCUUGUGAAUAUCAGGUGUUGUAA
This is a non-coding RNA of Acanthosepion pharaonis, 112 nucleotides long. Lineage: Eukaryota; Metazoa; Mollusca; Cephalopoda; Sepiida; Sepiidae. The record is from the annotation of a GenBank genome assembly.